GUAUACCAAAUUUUGGGGGCGUCACAACAACCCUUAUAAGUAUUGAAAGAAAAUAACUCUCUUCAUGAAUACGAAAGAAUAAUACCCCUUACCUUAGAAAAACUGGAUACUUGAAUAAUGAGGUAGCAGACUUCUCUUCUUCUUUCUUUCUAUAAUAAUUACUCUAAAGCUUUUGUGAAUUGGUGAGAAAUGAAGGAAGAAUGAAC
This 206-nucleotide long non-coding RNA is filed under the name Panax ginseng (ginseng). RNAcentral describes it as "long non-coding RNA (PGIN_LNC014161)". The record is from RNAcentral. Lineage: Eukaryota; Viridiplantae; Streptophyta; Magnoliopsida; Apiales; Araliaceae.